RNAcentral lists this ribosomal RNA (497 nucleotides) under uncultured bacterium. RNAcentral describes it as "partial 16S ribosomal RNA". It matches the Rfam family "Bacterial small subunit ribosomal RNA", at positions 28 to 507 of the family's 1533-position model. The record is from RNAcentral.
GAUGAACGCUGGCGGCGUGCCUAAUACAUGCAAGUCGAGCGAACAGACGAGGAGCUUGCUCCUCUGACGUUAGCGGCGGACGGGUGAGUAACACGUGGAUAAUCUACCUAUAAGACUGGGAUAACUUCGGGAAACCGGAGCUAAUACCGGAUAAUAUAUUGAACCGCAUGGUUCAAUAGUGAAAGUCGGUUUUGCUGUCACGUAUAGAUGGAUCGGCGCCGCAUUAGCUAGUUGGUAAGGUAACGGCUUAUCAAGGCAACGAUGCGUAGCCGACCUGAGAGGGUGAUCGGCCACACUGGAACUGAGACACGGACCAGACUCCUACGGGAGGCAGCAGUAGGGAAUCUUCCGCAAUGGGCGAAAGCCUGACGGAGCAACGCCGCGUGAGUGAUGAAGGUCUUCGGAUCGUAAAACUCUGUUAUUAGGGAAGAACAAAUGUGUAAGUAACUAUGCACGUCUUGACGGUACCUAAUCAGAAAGCCACGGCUAACUACGUG